This 497-nucleotide ribosomal RNA is filed under the name uncultured bacterium. RNAcentral's name for it is "partial 16S ribosomal RNA". It matches the Rfam family "Bacterial small subunit ribosomal RNA", at positions 28 to 507 of the family's 1533-position model. The record is from RNAcentral.
GAUGAACGCUGGCGGCGUGCCUAAUACAUGCAAGUCGAGCGAACAGACGAGUAGCUUGCUCCUCUGACGUUAGCGGCGGACGGGUGAGUAACACGUGGAUAACCUACCUAUAAGACUGGGAUAACUUCGGGAAACCGGAGCUAAUACCGGAUAAUAUAUUGAACCGCAUGGUUCAAUAGUGAAAGACGGUUUUGCUGUCACUUAUAGAUGGAUCCGCGCCGCAUUAGCUAGUUGGUAAGGUAACGGCUUACCAAGGCAACGAUGCGUAGCCGACCUGAGAGGGUGAUCGGCCACACUGGAACUGAGACACGGUCCAGACUCCUACGGGAGGCAGCAGUAGGGAAUCUUCCGCAAUGGGCGAAAGCCUGACGGAGCAACGCCGCGUGAGUGAUGAAGGUCUUCGGAUCGUAAAACUCUGUUAUUAGGGAAGAACAAAUGUGUAAGUAACUAUGCACGUCUUGACGGUACCUAAUCAGGAAGCCACGGCUAACUACGUG